UGGGGAAUAUUGGACAAUGGGCGCAAGCCUGAUCCAGCCAUGUCGCGUGUGUGAAGAAGGCCUUUUGGUUGUAAAGCACUUUAAGCGAGGAGGAGGCUACUUGGAUUAAUACUCUAGGAUAGUGGACGUUACUCGCAGAAUAAGCACCGGCUAACUCUGUGCCAGCAGCCGCGGUAAUACAGAGGGUGCGAGCGUUAAUCGGAUUUACUGGGCGUAAAGCGUGCGUAGGCGGCUUUUUAAGUCGGAUGUGAAAUCCCUGAGCUUAACUUAGGAAUUGCAUUCGAUACUGGGAAGCUAGAGUAUGGGAGAGGAUGGUAGAAUUCCAGGUGUAGCGGUGAAAUGCGUAGAGAUCUGGAGGAAUACCGAUGGCGAAGGCAGCCAUCUGGCCUAAUACUGACGCUGAGGUACGAAAGCAUGGGGAGCAAACAGG
This 430-nucleotide ribosomal RNA is filed under the name Actinomycetes bacterium. RNAcentral's name for it is "Actinobacteria bacterium partial 16S ribosomal RNA". It matches the Rfam family "Bacterial small subunit ribosomal RNA", at positions 355 to 776 of the family's 1533-position model. Lineage: Bacteria; Bacillati; Actinomycetota; Actinomycetes. The record is from RNAcentral.